RNAcentral lists this ribosomal RNA (440 nucleotides) under uncultured bacterium. Its description in RNAcentral is "partial 16S ribosomal RNA". It matches the Rfam family "Bacterial small subunit ribosomal RNA", at positions 338 to 795 of the family's 1533-position model. The record is from RNAcentral.
CCUACGGGUGGCUGCAGUGGGGAAUAUUGCACAAUGGGGGAAACCCUGAUGCAGCAACGCCGCGUGAGUGAAGAAGUAUUUCGGUAUGUAAAGCUCUAUCAGCAGGGAAGAGAAUGACGGUACCUGACUAAGAAGCCCCGGCUAACUACGUUCCAGCAGCCGCGGUAAUACGUAGGGGGCAAGCGUUAUCCGGAAUUACUGGGUGUAAAGGGAGCGUAGACGGCUUUACACGUCUGAUGUGAAAGCCCGUGGCUCAACCGCGGAACUGCUUUGGAAACUGUAAGGCUGGAGUGCUGGAGAGGCAGGCGGAAUUCCUAGUGUAGCGGUGAAAUGCGUAGAUAUUAGGAGGAACACCAGUGGCGAAGGCGGCCUGCUGGACAGAAACUGACGUUGAGGCACGAAAGCGUGGGGAGCAAACAGGAUUAGAUACCCCAGUAGUC